This 2408-nucleotide long non-coding RNA is filed under the name Equus asinus (donkey). RNAcentral describes it as "lncRNA (ENSEASG00005031215.1)". Lineage: Eukaryota; Metazoa; Chordata; Mammalia; Perissodactyla; Equidae. The record is from RNAcentral.
CUUCCUUGUUCACAAGGCCAUUUGUCCAGCAUGAGGAUGACCAGUGACAGAAGCUGGCUGACAUCACGACGGCAACUAUCUGAAUCAUUCUGUCUACUUGGUGCCUCUUCCAGAAUGGAUGUUCUCUAAUGGGUGAUACCUAUAAUUCCACGGAGUCUGCCCAGUCAUGUGGCUCACACAGCCGAGCUGCCAGCACAGCAACCUGGACCUGCUGCAGGGCUCUUUCUCACAAAGGAUCCUGAUGGUUAGCAAGGAUGUAACGGCGUCUCCUACAGCCACACCUGGUCUACAGAUGACAUCCCACUGAGCUCCUCCCUGAUGCUGGUAUCUCCUCACUAGCACAUCCCUCAUUGCUUUGGUAAAUGCCUGUUGUCCAGGCCCUUCUGUGGAACAGAGCCAGUGGGAACAGGAAGUCUACAUUGCAGACACCUUUUGAAUCCAUCCACUUCUCCCCAUCCCUGCAGCCCCGCCAUGCUGCAGACCACCAACAUCUGUCUUCAAGAAGACUCAACAGCUUCUCGUGGUCUCCCUGCCUUCUUCACACCUCCUCCAACCCAUUCUGCAUCCAUAGACAGCAUGCUCUUUCUAAAUACACAUCUGAUCAUCUCACUCCAUGCAAAGAACCCUUUGAUGUUCCUCCAUUUCUCUGAGGAUGAAGACUGUACUUCUGAGGCUUGAAGGGAAGGAGCAGUAUUCAUAGUACUGAGCAAUCAGAAAGGCCUGGGCAUUCACCCAUCGGAAGAGAUGCAGGGAAACAACCACGAAGGCCAAGCAUUGAGGAUUAGCUGAAGAUCAGCCAGAGUGCAAGGCCAGGACCAGGUGCUGUCUUGAAUUACUUUCUGUAGCCACAACUGCCUCUCCCCUAACCUUACACUCUGUCCUCCAGCCCACUCACUCUCUCACUUCAAUGCGUUUGCUUUGCUAUCAGCUUUUCUGUUGUCCCCUCACCACCCAGCAGAGAUAUGGGCACAAAAUAGGUGUUUUAAAAAUAUGUAUUAGAUUUGAAAGAAAGCCAGCGAAUGCAGCAGCCCCAGGGGUCCAUCAGGAGAGCAGCCGCAGCCACAGCAGUAAGGCUCCCUGCAUAUCAGCCAGGCAUGUGAGCUAGAUCUGACAAAUGCAGCAUCGGAAACACAGUCGCAUGUGAGGAGGGUGCUGACAGUUCCUAAGCCAAGUGCUGAACAAAUGCUGUUCCACAGCCAUUGAAUAUUUCAGUAUAACUCUGCUGCAAGAAUUACAGCUCCGGAUUUCAGCUGUUCCCAGGAGGGCUGGGAGCAGAGAGUAUGCCAGCAGGAAAAUCCCUGUGAGAAUCCACAGAUAUGUUUGUUGCAGAGUUUGUGUGUAUCUAGAGCCUUCUCAUCUUUCUCCCACAAAUGCUGGCAGGCACCGUGCUGGGAACUGGGGGACAAAGAUGAAGACAGGCCUCAGCUUUUGAAGCUCUCACAUUCUAGUGGGAAAAUCAGACUAGCAAGCAGGCAUGCUGAGGGGUCAAGAGAGGUUGGCCAGGCUGGGAUAAGAACCCACAGAUGGAAGACCCAACCAAGAGGAAGCUUAUCAGGGAAGCUUCUGGGAGAAGGGGCAUCAUGGCUAAGUCCUCAAGGAUGAAUAAGAGUUUGCAAAGUGGUGUUGAGGGAAAGGACUGGGAGGCAUUUCAGGCAUCAGGAGAAGUAUCUCCAAAGGAGAAGUCUCCAAAGGUCUGGAGACAAGAGAGCACUGGGGUACUGAGAACUCUGCAGGGAGUUCAACAAGGCCAAAGCCAAGGGCCAGAAGAUAGGCUCUAGAUGUUGAGAUCAGAAGUCUGGACAUUGCCCUGAGGUUUCAAGAGGGCAAUGUGCAGACAGAUCACAGAGGGGUUCAAAGCCAGAACUAGACCUUGAACCUAUGUGUCUGCAACUGUUUCUUGUCUUGUCUCCAAGACGGCAGCUCAGCUCCUCCCUUCCCUGCGUAUACAUGGUGUUUCCCUAAAGAAAGGAGGAAUUUCUAUACCUAUUGAAUCUAGGUGGCCUGUGGCUUCUCUGACCAAUGGAAUUAAGUGGAAGUGAAGCCCUGCCAGAUCUAGGCCUAAUCUUUCAGAGAACUGGAAGUUUCCACUUCUCUUUCUUGGUAUACAAGCUUGGAGGGAAGCUAACCACCACGUAAGAAGUCUGACUACUCUGAGACUGCCAUGCUGUGAGGAAGCCCAAGCUAGCCACACACAGAGGCCUUGUGGGAAGAGUACCAAACAUAAGUGAAAGAGCCAUCUUGGACAUUCCAGCCCCAGCAAAUCUCACAGAGGCCCUAGACAGUGGGCUCAGUUUGUCACAGGCAUCUCCAGCUGGAGCCCCAGACAUGGAAAAGAGACAAGGCAUUCCUACUCUGCCCUGGCAGAAUUCCUGACCCAAAGUAUUAAGAGAAUAAUAAAAAAGAUGUGG